RNAcentral lists this unclassified non-coding RNA (382 nucleotides) under uncultured bacterium. Its description in RNAcentral is "contains 16S-23S intergenic spacer region". The record is from RNAcentral.
UCCGGCUUCCCGCCGGCAGUCUCCCGAGAGUCCCCGCCAUUACGCGCUGGCAACACGGGACAAGGGUUGCGCUCGUUGCGGGACUUAACCCAACAUCUCACGACACGAGCUGACGACAGCCAUGCAGCACCUGUACACGUGUCCCGAAGGAGGGCCCCUGUUUCCAGGGGCUUUCACGUGCAUGUCAAGCCCAGGUAAGGUUCUUCGCGUUGCUUCGAAUUAAACCACAUGCUCCGCCGCUUGUGCGGGUCCCCGUCAAUUCCUUUGAGUUUUAGCCUUGCGGCCGUACUCCCCAGGCGGGGUGCUUAAUGCGUUUGCGACGGCACGGAAGGGGUUGAAGACCUCCCCACACCUAGCACCCAACGUUUACGGCUGGGACUAC